Molecule: long non-coding RNA, 652 nt
Organism: Harmonia axyridis
Lineage: Eukaryota; Metazoa; Arthropoda; Insecta; Coleoptera; Coccinellidae
Exons: 3
Source: RefSeq, a predicted model, not a curated record
GGAUAAUGUCAUUAGUCUGCUGUUUUCAGUGAUAAGCACUAUAUGGAACUUUAUUCGUGUCUAUGAGAUUAUGUAUUAUUUCUCUAUCUGUUUCAUGAAGGUACUGUUUUGUAUGUUUUCUGAAUGAUAUUACUGAUGUUGAGUCUUUGAUUUUCCUAGGGAUGUUGUUAAAUAUUCGUGUGCUAAGAUAAGUAUAUCUUCUCUGCCCAAUAGUUUUGGAUGAAUAUUCCGUGCGCACCAUGUUUUCUUUUUUUGCCCUGGUACUGUAGUUGUGGUCAAUAUUCUUUAGGCUACUUUUGUUUUUGAAUUGAUCUAUCGCUAUACGUAGGAAGUAGAUUUGUCUGAGGUCUAAUAUUUUACUCUCAGAAUAAAGCAAGGUCGAUGAAUACGUUCGAGAUUUAUUGAAACAAAUCUUCAGGAAUUUUUUCUGUAAAAUAUCCAGAUGAGAUAAGUAACUGCUGGCAACACCUCCCCAACCUAGGAUUCCAUACGAUAAUCUAGACUCGACCAAUGCAUGGUACAGGAUUUUCAUUUGGUGAUUGAAAUCGGGGAGAUGAGAUGAGUAACAAGAAAAAGGUUUUUCCAGGAUGUGUCUUCAUAGAAUAUUGCCGUGUCAUCCGCAAAACUAAUGAUUUCUCCAUUGGUCUGUGAG